AUUGAACGCCGGCGGCAGGCCUAACACAUGCAAGUCGAGCGGAUGAAGGGAGCUUGCUCCUGGAUUCAGCGGCGGACGGGUGAGUAAUGCCUAGGAAUCUGCCUGGUAGUGGGGGAUAACGUCCGGAAACGGGCGCUAAUACCGCAUACGUCCUGAGGGAGAAAGUGGGGGAUCUUCGGACCUCACGCUAUCAGAUGAGCCUAGGUCGGAUUAGCUAGUUGGCGGGGUAAAGGCCUACCAAGGCGACGAUCCGUAACUGGUCUGAGAGGAUGAUCAGUCACACUGGAACUGAGACACGGUCCAGACUCCUACGGGAGGCAGCAGUGGGGAAUAUUGGACAAUGGGCGAAAGCCUGAUCCAGCCAUGCCGCGUGUGUGAAGAAGGUCUUCGGAUUGUAAAGCACUUUAAGUUGGGAGGAAGGGCAGUAAGUUAAUACCUUGCUGUUUUGACGUUACCAACAGAAUAAGCACCGGCUAACUUCGUG
RNAcentral lists this ribosomal RNA (484 nucleotides) under uncultured bacterium. RNAcentral's name for it is "partial 16S ribosomal RNA". It matches the Rfam family "Bacterial small subunit ribosomal RNA", at positions 30 to 507 of the family's 1533-position model. The record is from RNAcentral.